UACGUAGGUGGCAAGCGUUGUCCGGAUUUAUUGGGUUUAAAGGGGGCGUAGGCGGCCCUGUAAGUCAGUGCUGAAAUAUCCCGGCUUAACCGGGAGGGUGGCAUUGAUACUGCGGGGCUAGAGUACAGAUGAGGUAGGCGGAAUUGACGGUGUAGCGGUGAAAUGCUUAGAUAUCGUCAAGAACACCUAUAGCGAAGGCAGCUUACUAGGCUGUAACUGACGCUGAGGCACGAAAGUGUGGGGAUCAAACAGG
Molecule: ribosomal RNA, 253 nt
Filed under: uncultured bacterium
Lineage: Bacteria
Description: partial 16S ribosomal RNA
Rfam family: Bacterial small subunit ribosomal RNA
Source: RNAcentral